RNAcentral lists this small RNA (673 nucleotides) under Histoplasma capsulatum. RNAcentral describes it as "hypothetical RNA". The record is from RNAcentral. Lineage: Eukaryota; Fungi; Ascomycota; Eurotiomycetes; Onygenales; Ajellomycetaceae. RNAcentral also lists the same sequence under 1 other name.
GCUUGGCUACUGUGUGCUAUCAAGUUCUUUUGCCCCAGUGGCCCAGCGACACCACUUUCUCGGCCACUUUGCACCACCAUGCUAAUUUAGUAUGAGAAACGAUCUUAUUUGUCUUGGAGGCACUCCAUCAUGGUCCAAUCGGCUGAUUGCAAAUUUGCAGCAAACUCCGGGAUGCUAAUGAUUGAAUUUAAAACUCGGGAGUAUUCCUGUUCGAUGCCAUUAUUGAGUUUGUUAUAAGAUACAUAGUUCAACACCAUCUUAUCCAAUCUACUACUUUCUCCUCCCCCUUCCCUAGCGGUGUCAGUGACGCCUCAGACGGCGCGGAAACAUGCACUCUACAUGCAGGUUACACGUCGGCUGACCCCUCGGGUGACUCACCUGAACUACGCUAGUGUAGGUCACCUGACCCAAAACAAUUCUUGGCACAAAAAGGGUCAGCUGAGAAUAAAACAAAAAUGAACUUUUACCUUCUGAUACAUCUGUUAAUACACACAGCAAAAAUGAAUAUUGAUUCUUUCUCAGAUGAUAGUAAUCUAUUAGAUCAUGAUUUGAAUCAAGAGCAUUGACUUGAGAAACACACAGAAGUUUUGGAUGAAAGCACAGUAUAUGAAACUAGUCUUUUACUACUAUUUGAUUGCUUACUGACUAGUAAGCCAACUUAUGAAUCCAUUAU